ACAAGUGAUGCGUGAAAAACAUUGCUCAUGUACACAGCCCCAUUGAAAUGAAUGGGUCAGGAUUCAGUGCGGGUGCAAUGCAUUCACCUCAAGCAUUGCAGGCGCGUGGAAUACUCGGCCGUGUGAAAGGGACCAAAGAGGAUCAAGAACACCAGAAUGAC
Molecule: long non-coding RNA, 161 nt
Organism: Bufo bufo (common toad)
Lineage: Eukaryota; Metazoa; Chordata; Amphibia; Anura; Bufonidae
Exons: 3
Source: RefSeq, a predicted model, not a curated record